RNAcentral lists this long non-coding RNA (491 nucleotides) under Marmota marmota marmota (Alpine marmot). Its description in RNAcentral is "lncRNA (ENSMMMG00000015563.1)". Lineage: Eukaryota; Metazoa; Chordata; Mammalia; Rodentia; Sciuridae. The record is from RNAcentral.
UUCCUGACUCUCCUAACUUUUCAUCUGUUUGUUCAUAGGCCUGCUUUAAGGCUGUUCAAUUCUGCAAGAAAGGAAAAGAGGAGGAGGAGGAGACUGGCUCAAAUCUCUGGAGGACCCCCUGCAGUCGGCUGUGGGGCAUAACACCAUUUGAGCAAAGAAAGGAGAGGGAAAUUGCACCACAUCAGUGAAGAUCCACCUCCAGUGGCAGCUCUGGUGGUGCUGGAGUUGCUGCUGACCACCACCCUCAACAGGUCUGCACCCACCCAGGAACCAUCCAUCCUCCCCCAAGCUUGGUUGUGCCUCCUCUCCACUGUAUCUAUAUUAUUGACUGAGACUUUGCUUGGGUCAGAACCUGUUUGACUGCUAGAUUGGCAAUUUACUUUAAUUUUUGUUCCAGUGUUAUAGCCUAAAUUGCUGAAAGAUCUUAGUGUGAAGAUACCAUUCUUUGACAGAUCUGUGUCUAAGGCUGAGACUUGGAUAGUAUAUAACUG